This 3468-nucleotide long non-coding RNA is filed under the name Marmota monax (woodchuck). The record is from RNAcentral. Lineage: Eukaryota; Metazoa; Chordata; Mammalia; Rodentia; Sciuridae.
CUUACAAAUCUCGCGAGACUUUACCAAAUCUCAUUAAGGAUUCCUUCCCAAAGCCAUUUUGUUUUUCAGGGCUCUCUGCAAGGGUACCUGGAUCGAAUUUACAUCAAAGCAGCAGCUGCAGUUGCGGUAGAUCCCUCUGCACUUCCACCAUGUUUCCUUUGGCCAAAAAUGCUCUGAGUCGUCUCCAAGGUGAGCAAAAUCGUGAGCAAGCCAUUUACAACAGCCUUAUAUCCGUGUGUCCUCGUGGUCUUUUCGUUUUUCUUGCUCCAACAUCCUGGCCCUCUAAUUCUACAUGCUGUCUCUUACUUCGUCCAAAGUCAUUGGGGAGAUAUCCGUAGCAUUGGCUUUAUCGUCCGGUGUUUUUGUUUCAUUUCCUGGCUCUGUCUCUGCUAUUGGAGUCAUAUCCUCGUUUUUAUCAUUUUUAGCCUUGUAACCUAUCUACUCUUUGAUUAUCUCUCGCUUUUAAAGUGAUGUCCUACAUUUUAGCUUUGGAUCCACAUUUAUUUCUAACCACACAUAGAAGAACCUUCUCUCCCGUCCCUACAGCUUUAACUGUAGGAAACUGUAAACCCAUCUCUUCACCUGUUUUCAUGGCCGGGAGACUACCUAAAUGGUAGCCUUGUAGACUUAAAAAGUUACUUGCGGGUUGUUAACUGAAUAUUAGUUGCCGUGAGAGCAAUCGUCGUUAUCUUUUUAUCUAGAAGUUAGGCAAAUACAGGGAAAUCUGAGAUCAGCAUCAUGAACUGAGAAUGCACUAGAUUGGAGAGAAAAAAUUUAUUUCCAUAUUUGAUUUGCACUGAAGGUGACCUUGAGUAAUGUGAGUGAAGGUGACCUUAUACAAUCAUCAUUUACUAAUGUAGCCAUACUAAUUUUAACUUUACAUUAGGAGCAUUACUUGACUGUGUUCUAAACACUCAAGCAGUUUUUAAAAUAAAUGAAAAAAUAGUAGCCCUACUAGGUUUCAUAUGCCAAAAGCCGUAUUCAUUAUUUCUUUAACUUGGGGUAAAUUAUUUAAUCUCUGAACCUGUUUUCUGCUUUAUAAAAGAUUAGUAGAUAAAACUUGCCUCAUAGGAUUGUUGACGAUUAUAUGAAAUUACCAAUGUAUGUUAACUAAAUCAUAUAUUUUUUUAAAGAGAGAGAGAGAAAGAAAUUUUUUAGUGUUUAUUUUUUAGUUUUCAUCGGACACAACAUCUUUCUUUGUAUGUUGUUCUGAGGAUGGAACCCGGGCUGCACGCAUGCCAGGCGAGCGCGCUACCGCUUGAGCCACAUCCCCAGCCCCUAAAUCAUAUUUUGUCGCAGAGGACAGGUCUAAAGAAAUCCACUUGGGUAAUCUGUUUAAGUCAGAAUUUUUGGUAAUCAUAAUUUCUUUGCUCUUUAAGCAAGUGGGGAAAUCUUGUACCUUAGGAAUGCUUUUCUGUUUCUUUCAGUGUAGAAUUCACACACGCAUUUUUUUUUUAACUGUUCUGGAAUAGAAUACAUUGUGAAAUGUUUGUAAAUUUGCACAUCCUGGAUGUGAGUUCUUAAAGAUGAAAAUGAAAGCUAAGGUAGUUAGAAGAACAAAAAAAUAAAGGUUAGAUGACUAUCAUGAAAUAACCUGUUGUACCACAUAGAAACCACUAUAUUCUUAAAUGUUAGUGAAUGUGAAAUGUUGCUAUUUCUUUAGUAUGCAGCAUACUUUUUGCGCGCACAUAUCUUGAUGUGUGUAUAUAUACAUAUACAUAUACACAUUUUGAGGCUUUUUAAAACAAUAAGGACUUGCUACUUAACUUGGAGAGGAAGGAAAAAAAAAAACUUCCAGAAUCUCUUGUUUCUUUCCCAAGUUGUCCUUCUCAGUUCCUCCAGGGACAGUUUGAAAGGUUGUUGUACCCUUUCUACAAGAAUAUAGUAAAAGCUAAGUUUUAAUUUUAUCAUUCUGCUUAAAAAUCUUUACUAUCUUCCCCAGCCUAGGAAAAAAAUGCACCUUGUCCUUCAACUAAAUGUAAUUGAUUUUCCAGUACAAAGAGCUUUUCUGUCUCUGCCUCUUUCCCACAUUAACCACCAAAACCUAUCUGCCAUUCAAAGUGCUUAGCUAAUUCUACUUAUAUUGUAGUGAUCUGUGUCUUCAUGUGUAGUAUCCUUUUUCAGACUGAAAGUUAUCUGGUGACAGAUAUCUGUUUCUUUCAUAUUUUUAUAUAUUCUAUUACAGUGUGGUGCCCUAUUCAUUAAUAAUUUGUUGAGGUGGGGGGGUACUGGAGAUUGAACCCAGGUGUACUUUAACACCAAGCUACAUCUCCAAACCUUUAUUUUUUUUUUUUAUUUUGAAGUUGAUGAUGCUGGCCUUGAACUUGUGAUCCUUCUGUCUUAGCCUCCCCAGUUGCUGAGAUUACAGGAGUGUACCACCGUGCCUUACUGAAUAUUAAUAUCUUAAAUAUCCAGAUUACUUUAGUUUUGGAGGGUUUUAUUGUUGUAAUAAUUUAAGGUCACUAACAUUUAGUGUGCUAUAAAUUUCAUUUUGAGUUUUUUUGCCCUUGUAUGUUUUAAGUUUGUUGAGUGUUGUUAACUUGAGUGAAAAUUAAAGUUAUACAUAUUCAAAUUAAUGAGUAGAAGCCAAGUUCCAUCCACUUAGUGAUGUUAUUAGCAUCACUUUUUUUUUUUUUUAAAGAGAGAAUUUUAAAAAAAUAUUUAUUUUUCAGUUUUCGGUGGAAACAACAUCUUUAUUUUUUAUUUUUUAUGUGAUACUGAGAAUCAAACCCAGCGCCCCGCACAUGCCAAAUGAGCGCGUUAGCGCUUGAGCCACAUCCCCAGCCCUAUUGGCAUCACUUGUUACUUGCUUUUGCCCCCACGUUUUAUUAUGAAUAGUUUCAAACAGAAAAGAUUUGGAAGAAUUACAUGAUGAACAUCCACAUACUUACCAUGUAGAGUCUGUGAUUGUUAUAUUGCUGUAUUUGUUUAUUCACAUAUCUGUCCAUUUGUCAAUUGAUCUUAUUUUUGAUGCAUUUCACAGUAUACUACUGUGUUUUUAGCUGCAAUGUGUUUUUAACAUUUUAUUGAACUGUGUUAUACUAUAAUUUCCUUGACUUUUUAAUUGGCAGUAUCAGUUACGUGUUAUCUUUCCCUGAUAAUUGAUAGAUAUACUUAUGUAAUUUUUUUUUUUUCUUUCCUGUAAGUUCGAAGCAUUCAGCAAACAAUGGCAAGGCAGAGUCACCAGAAACGUGUACCUGAUUUCCAUGACAAAUAUGGUAAUGCCAUAUUAGCUAGUGGAGCCAUUUUCUGUAUUUCUGUAUGGACAUAUGUAAGUAUUGUUGAUUGAUAUUUUUUUUUGUGGUUCUGGGGAUUGAACACAGGGCCUACCCAUGAUAGGCAAGCACUUUUCACCGAGCUGUACCCCCAGUUCCAAUAAUUUUGUUAGAUAUUUCUUAUUCUCAUUUGCUCCAUGUAUUAAAAAAUGUUUUAACAAAGUACUACACAUAUGUAGUUAGGAGGGGCUGG